Lathyrus oleraceus (garden pea) is the source of this 748-nucleotide long non-coding RNA. RefSeq lists it as uncharacterized. The transcript has 3 exons. NCBI's taxonomy places the organism in Eukaryota, Viridiplantae, Streptophyta, Magnoliopsida, Fabales, Fabaceae. The record is from RefSeq and is a predicted model, not a curated record.
GACCAGAAAAGUGCUUAUCCAAAGCAUCCUGCAAUGCCCAACAUAACGUCUUCUCAUGUGACCUGAAAGGGAGAAAAUCGCUUCUCCUCGAAAAAGUACAACGCGUGAUUCUCUCUUCACUCCAUCAUCAUCGUUGCGUGCUAACGUGCUUCGACAUGAAUAGAAAGAAAUUAUUGAACUCCAACGGUAACGCGUUCGUCUCGGCAUCACGGUUCAUCAUGUUUCAGCGGAACUCCGCGGUUCAGCAUCCUCCAUUCAUCUCGCUUUGCUAUCGCGCGUAAUCAGAAAAAAAGGAAUCGAAAGUGAAUUGAAAACUCACUGGAUUUAAUAGGUUGAAUGUCGCGGGUCAAGUGUUGUGGCAGGAUCAUGUUGCAUACAUUUCUUGCUGCAGGUUGCUGCAAGUUCAUUUGAUUUUGCUGCAUCUUGUAUAUUGGACUGUCAUGGUGAAUCAGCUGCAGGGCUUUGAGAAGUUUUGGAUGCCUAGAAGUUACAAUAGAGCUUGAAGUGGAUUGAAUGGGGCUGUUUUGGAAUUGAUUGGAUUGGCUUUGGACUUGUGAAUCAUAGGCUAAUGAAGUGUAAAUUGUGUAUCGAUUGAAAAAUGUAACUUUUGCAGUAAAAAUUCAAACAGUACUUAAGUUGGAGAUGGGUGUAAAUGUAUGUAUGUAAAUGGAAUUUGAAAUUGAAUCUAUGUAAUUGGAAAUUUGAAAAUUGAUUGUUUAUGUAUGAAACAUGAAUGUUAAUGGUUGAA